AGAGUUUGAUCAUGGCUCAGGAUGAACGCUGGCGGCGUGCUUAACACAUGCAAGUCGAACGGUGAAGCAGGAGCUUGCUCUUGUGGAUCAGUGGCGAACGGGUGAGUAACACGUGAGCAACCUGCCCCUGACUCUGGGAUAAGCGCUGGAAACGGCGUCUAAUACUGGAUAUGUGACGUGACCGCAUGGUCUGCGUUUGGAAAGAUUUUUCGGUUGGGGAUGGGCUCGCGGCCUAUCAGCUUGUUGGUGAGGUAAUGGCUCACCAAGGCGUCGACGGGUAGCCGGCCUGAGAGGGUGACCGGCCACACUGGGACUGAGACACGGCCCAGACUCCUACGGGAGGCAGCAGUGGGGAAUAUUGCACAAUGGGCGAAAGCCUGAUGCAGCAACGCCGCGUGAGGGAUGACGGCCUUCGGGUUGUAAACCUCUUUUAGCAGGGAAGAAGCGAAAGUGACGGUACCUGCAGAAAAAGCGCCGGCUAACUACGUGCCAGCAGCCGCGGUAAUAC
This 508-nucleotide ribosomal RNA is filed under the name uncultured bacterium. RNAcentral's name for it is "bacterial SSU rRNA". It matches the Rfam family "Bacterial small subunit ribosomal RNA", at positions 8 to 526 of the family's 1533-position model. The record is from RNAcentral.